RNAcentral lists this long non-coding RNA (859 nucleotides) under Physcomitrium patens. RNAcentral describes it as "long non-coding RNA (PPAT_LNC006790)". Lineage: Eukaryota; Viridiplantae; Streptophyta; Bryopsida; Funariales; Funariaceae. The record is from RNAcentral.
AAAAAUACUAAAAAAUACUAUGAUGCUUUCUCCCAAUAACAAUACUCCUUCAUCAACUGAUAACAAUAGUGUGCAACUCUACACUCUCAAAAUACUACUCAAAAUAUAAUAAUUUCCAUCCAACACCAGAAAUAAUAGACUUCAUUCCAACAAUUUGAAUUCACAUAAUUUUUGUAAUCACAGACUUCCUCUGUCCAAAACACACACAGCUCUCAAUAAACAACAAUCAUAAACUUUCAAUAACUCCUCAUAUAAUUCAAUCACUGAGUGCUAUAAUUACAUAAUCAAUAAUUUAUAAAUCAAUCUUUGAUUUAUUCUACAGACUCACUUCUCAUUAUUCAGAAACUAUCCAUUACUCUUUAACAACAAAAAAAACAAAGAAACAAAGAGGUAGCACUAAGCUUACCCCGACUCAUGACUAUCACAGUGUGGCACUCCAACAAACUUCUACAACUCCUAUAUAAUUGCUUCUGAUUUCUAGAUUUUAAUUGUAAUCUUGUAAUUAACCACUUUUAAUAACUAAAUCAAUCAUCUGUCCUCCUGAACUAAUUAUUCUAUGGACUAUUAGUCUAUUUUACCAAUAUCUUACAGAAACGAACUAAUAUCUAUUCUACAUAGCCCUACUCCUAUCUGUGCAGCGUCCUCACAAAUACACAAUUGAUUCCUAUCUAAAAACUACUUAACAAAACUCUACAAAGUUACUAUUUCCUCUGGCCCACCUAAUUGAUCAUUUGUUGCAUUAUCAAAUGUGCGUUCGAUCGAAUCUGGUUCUAAAUGCAAAUCUUCUUCUUCCUCCAAUCCAUCUAUCGACUCCUUCCUCAACUAGUUUGAGAAAUCUUCAUUAUACUCUCCCAAUUCA